UACGUAGGGUGCAAGCGUUAAUCGGAAUUACUGGGCGUAAAGCGUGCGCAGGCGGCUAUGCAAGACAGAUGUGAAAUCCCCGGGCUUAACCUGGGAACUGCAUUUGUGACUGCAUGGCUAGAGUACGGUAGAGGGGGAUGGAAUUCCGUGUGUAGCAGUGAAAUGCGUAGAUAUGCGGAGGAACACCGAUGGCGAAGGCAAUCCCCUGGACCUGUACUGACGCUCAUGCACGAAAGCGUGGGGAGCAAACAGG
This 253-nucleotide ribosomal RNA is filed under the name uncultured bacterium. RNAcentral's name for it is "partial 16S ribosomal RNA". It matches the Rfam family "Bacterial small subunit ribosomal RNA", at positions 524 to 776 of the family's 1533-position model. The record is from RNAcentral.